GCUGGGGGAUCCGGCGGUGGAGGACGGCUGGGGGAUCCGGCGGUGGAGGUCCGAAGGCGGCUCGUGAUUAGACCAACCAGCUCCUCGUCCAUGGAAGGAUUGAAGAGUCACUGGGGAUGAAGAUCACUGCUCAGGGGCUGACAACCACUCAUCUUUCCGGAGAAGCGUCCUCAUGGUGCAGGCGGUCAAACCUCCACCUCUUUGAAGAGACCAAGCAGCUUGAUGACUGACUGGUUCUUUAUACUCAAGACCUCGUCCCGGAGCAGAGGACGGACCUAAGGCCCGCAGCGCAGCCGACUAGAGACUCCAUGUGGAACCGGUUCAAUUAAGUUGACCCCUCCUUCAGGCGACUUAAAGGGAGACCAUAUGUGCGGCAGCUGGGUGUCAUGGUGCAGAGACCCAACGCUGUACUGAACUACACCAGUGUGUCCUACUCCCAUAAACCCUGAGGAUCCCUGGAUGGCUACACCAGCACAUUAAUCCACACCCAACAUCAACACACAGUGCACACUCUAUAGAGCUCGUAAGUCCGCUCCUUGCGGCGGGACCUCGUGAGAUCGUAAGUUAUGACUGGGUUUCAAUGGAGAGAAAGUAAUUAUUUUCUCUUCUAUGUUGCACCACAUUUUGGGGGAAGAAUGUUUGAAUCAAUCUGUCAUUUAUUUCUGUACUCCACAUCUGUACUCCCAGCUGUUGUAUUUUAACACGGUAGCUGGGAACCCUCUUUAUAGGGAGCGGCUAGAUGGACGAGGCUGGAAGCAAACCUGAGCCUGGAUCUUAACCUUCUUUCUAAACCUAAUGCCGCAAUUUAACCGCAAAUAAAGUGAGGCCUAAAGUAACUUGACUCUCUUACCUAAACUUGCUUGUCUAAACUCGCCUGCAUAAAACCUAAACUCGCUUGCAUAAAACCUGAACUUGCUUGGCUAAACUUGCGUCGCUUGCCUAAUACCUGAACUUGCUCGCCUAAACUCGCUUGCCUAAUACCUGAACUCGCUUGCCUAAAACCUGAACUCGCUUGCAUAAAACCUGAACUUACUUGGCUAAACUCGCGUCGCUUGCCUAAUACCCGAACUUGCUCGCCUAAACUCGCUUGCCUAAUACCUGAACUCGCUUGCCUAAAACCUGAACUCGCUUGCAUAAAACCUAACUCGCUUAGCUUGACUCGCUUGCCUGUACUCGCUUGGCUAAACUCGCUUGCAUAAAACCUAACUCGCUUAGCUUGACUCGCUUGCCUGUACUCGCUUGGCUAAACUCGCUUGCAUAAAACCUAAACUCGCUUGCAUAAAAACUAAACUCGCUUAGCUUGACUCUUUUGCCUGUACUCGCUUGGCUAAACUCGCUUGCCUAAUACCUGAAGUCGCUUGCCUAAAACCUAAACUUGCUUGUCCAAACACGUUACACAAAGUUAACCAUCCAUAAUCUUUAACCCAAACCAGACUUGUCCCUGGGUCGCUCCACUUUAAUUUAGAAGUUUCUUCUUUUACCUCAUCAGCUUUUUGAGUUUCAUUCUUUGAGGGCUCUUUACCCAUUUUGUUUUGGAUUGCAUUUCUAUGUGUAAUCCGGCCAAAUGUUCAGUGUCCUACCAUGUAAUGUCUAUGGUCUGACGAUAAUCUGACCUCUUCAUGAAGCAGAAUGUGUGUUAAUGUUGUCCCGUGAGCUCCAGGCUCUCUGUGGGCCUGUCAACGUCUCUUUAGCAAAAGGUUGGGGAGUGAAAUUCAUUUUUGUGCCAUUUUCAUGUGUUCCUGAGUAUUUCAGGCCUGUGGAGUUUCACAUGAGACCUUAAUUGGAACCUUUCUUUUUCUGCCUUUAUACGUAAUGCCUACAUUAGUAGGGUGAUCACUGUUGAUCCCAAUAUUGAUCAUUAACCACCUCAUUCUUUGGGAUUACAAAUCAUGUAAUUUAUGAGCAUAUUUGCGAAUGCCUCCAAAUAUCAGAUUGUGUAAAAACGAAUGAAAUGUAACCUGCUUGAUUUAAAGAAAAUAAAACAUCCAAAUAUUAUAAACCUG
Gadus morhua (Atlantic cod) is the source of this 2003-nucleotide long non-coding RNA. RefSeq lists it as uncharacterized. Lineage: Eukaryota; Metazoa; Chordata; Actinopteri; Gadiformes; Gadidae. The transcript is spliced from 5 exons. The record is from RefSeq and is a predicted model, not a curated record.